This is a long non-coding RNA of Equus asinus (donkey), 1747 nucleotides long. The record is from Ensembl. NCBI's taxonomy places the organism in Eukaryota, Metazoa, Chordata, Mammalia, Perissodactyla, Equidae.
UACCUAUUUUAAUAAAAAUUUAAUAAAUAAAAAAAAUUUUAAGGCACAGAAUAUGUAAUCAUUCCCCGGAUUAACAAGUUAAUAUUAUGCAAAAGAACCAGCAUUGUGUAGGGCAUAUUAAAGAUAAGCAAAGUCUUCCAUAGAACCAACUGGAUUCUCUGCCCUCCAAGCCUCUUCUUUGAGGAAGAGCAUAUGUAUAGCCUAAAACACCUUUACAAUUCACCACUCAAUGCUCUAUAGCAAGACAUGGUCGUUCCCACAUAGGUAGACCGGGACGAGAAUGAACAGAAACCCAUAGGAGAUGAUGGUGAACACUCAUCUCUUAGUCCUACCGGUCAAAGGUUAUCACCAGUUCACGUAGUUCAAAAGACCUAGAGAAUGGUGGUGGAAACUAUCGUGGAUUCUUCACAGUCUCAAGUGCUUUGUGGAUGGUUCUCUGGAGCAGAAUCAGUCAGGGCAACAAAUAACUCCUUCUAGAAAGCCAAGCUGCCCCACUCACUGAGCCCUGCUAUUGUUUCCAAAAAGUGACCCAGGUCCUGGUAGUUCAGUAUUCCACAGUUGGUGCUGCUGGGUCAGAAGGGGUCCAAAAAGGUGGCUAAUCCCUCCACACCUCACUUGAGGUGUGGUACCAUAUGAAAUGUUCAGGAUUGGGCAUUGCUUAGAAAACUUGGCACUCAAAGGGGCCAAUGACCAAGCCAGUCUUUGUAAGAAGACAUUUUGUUGUUGAAUGCAUGUACAGCCUCCAGCCCUGAAUCCUACUUUGUUCACAAAACAUCAGGCAAGCACUGGCGUAGCUGGGGAGAAGGCUGAGGGACAUCCACAGAGCAGCUCACCAUAUCCACUGUUUUACAGAGACUCGCCUCUGAAGUAGAUGCUCCUUGGGCAGCACUCAUGAGGGACACAUUCUGAAGCCUAGUUCAAGAGUAUCACCCACCCGACUCUUCCCAAACCUCCUUGCUGUCAGUCCUCAGGUCUUCUCUCCUUCCAGGCAAAAUGGACCACAAGGUGGACUGUUCAAAGUGCUGUCCACUGGGAGGAUCUCCCUUAUCCUUCAACCGCAGGGCAGAUGGCUUUGCUGGGACCUCAGUGGUCCAUGUCCAACUGGUGUCAGCAGAGACAUCUGUAAACCAGACUCAAGCUUCCUCCCCCUUUCCCGAACGAAGCAAAUACUCCAUGAAGCCACAGGUGUGGCUGCUACAAGCACAAUGGAAAAAACAAUGAAAGCAACUGAAAUGUCUAGAAAUGGGGGUUCGUUAAAUAAAGUAUGCUGUAUAGAACAAAAUAAUAUACAUCUAUUUUAAAUGAUGCUAUGAAUACUCAGUGAGACUUUUUUUUCACUGAUGGGUAUAGGAAAAAUUUGGUUGCUACAAUGUUUAGUGUGAAGAUACACAUUAGGAAACAAUGAUUAUCACUGAGAUAUAAAAUUAUGAGGUGUUACUUUUCUUUUUUCCACUUAUUUGCAUAUUUUAAAUUGUAUGCAUGAGCAUGUAUUAGUUUUGUCAUUUACUUUUAAAAGAAAAACCUUUUAGUGGACAAGAAACUGCCUACCUUCUCGACAACGUGUGUUUUGAGUAUCACUGAAGGGUCAUGCUAAGGUCACUGGAAUGAUUUAAAUGCUAUUGCUUGCUAUAGAGCGUAUAAUAAGCAGGGGGAAAAAGUCAUUUUCUGCAGAAGAUUGCUUGUAGUUAUUUUUGAAGAGAUCUAAGGCAUCCAAAAGGGACUUUCUCAAUUUCUAUGUAACAAAUUC